GACGGAGGGGGCAAGCGUUAUCCGGAAUUCUUGGGCGUACAGGGUACGUAGGCAGCUGGUCAAGUCUGGGGUCAAAGGCCACAGCUCAACUGUGGGAAGGCCCUGGAAACUGACCGGCUAGAGUGAGGUAGGGGUUGCGGGAAUUCCCGGUGUAGCGGUGAAAUGCGUAGAGAUCGGGAAGAACACCUGAGGCGGAAGCGCACAACUGGGCCUCAACUGACGCUGAGGUACGAAAGCUAGGGGAGCGAAGGGG
Molecule: ribosomal RNA, 253 nt
Filed under: uncultured bacterium
Lineage: Bacteria
Description: partial 16S ribosomal RNA
Rfam family: Bacterial small subunit ribosomal RNA
Source: RNAcentral